This 492-nucleotide ribosomal RNA is filed under the name uncultured bacterium. Its description in RNAcentral is "partial 16S ribosomal RNA". It matches the Rfam family "Bacterial small subunit ribosomal RNA", at positions 29 to 507 of the family's 1533-position model. The record is from RNAcentral.
AGUGAACGCUGGCGGUAGGCCUAACACAUGCAAGUCGAACGGCAGCACAGUAAGAGCUUGCUCUUACGGGUGGCGAGUGGCGGACGGGUGAGGAAUACAUCGGAAUCUACUUUUUCGUGGGGGAUAACGUAGAGAAACUUACGCUAAUACCGCAUACGACCUACGGGUGAAAGCAGGGGAUCUUCGGACCUUGCGCGAUUGAAUGAGCCGAUGUCGGAUUAGCUAGUUGGCGGGGUAAAGGCCCACCAAGGCGACGAUCCGUAGCUGGUCUGAGAGGAUGAUCAGCCACACUGGAACUGAGACACGGUCCAGACUCCUACGGGAGGCAGCAGUGGGGAAUAUUGGACAAUGGGCGCAAGCCUGAUCCAGCCAUACCGCGUGGGUGAAGAAGGCCUUCGAGUUGUAAAGCCCUUUUGUUGGGAAAGAAAAGCAGCAGGUUAAUACCCCGCUGUUCUGACGGUACCCAAAGAAUAAGCACCGGCUAACUUCGUG